AUAUCAAUAAGCGGAGGAAAAGAAACUAACAAGGAUUCCCCUAGUAACUGCGAGUGAAGCGGGAAAAGCUCAAAUUUGAAAUCUGGCAGUCUUUGACUUGUCCGAGUUGUAAUCUAGAGAAGUGUUACCUGUGCUGGACCGUGUAAAAGUCUCCUGGAAUGGAGCAUCAUAGAGGGUGAGAAUCCCGUCUUUGACACGACAACCAGUGCUCUGUGAUACGUCUUCUACGAGUCGAGUUGUUUGGGAAUGCAGCUCAAAAUGGGUGGUAAAUGCCAUCUAAAGCUAAAUACUGGCGAGAGACCGAUAGCGCACAAGUA
Molecule: ribosomal RNA, 317 nt
Filed under: uncultured Agaricales
Lineage: Eukaryota; Fungi; Basidiomycota; Agaricomycetes; Agaricales
Description: partial large subunit ribosomal RNA
Rfam family: Eukaryotic large subunit ribosomal RNA
Source: RNAcentral